CGUGACCACAAAGAACCUUCUGAGGGAGGAGAAGCCUGACUUCUUGGAGUUCCCUCCCUGGCUGGUGGCAGAUCAGUUGACACUGAUGGAUGUGGAGGAACUGCAAAAAAUUUAAAACCUUGUGCAGAAUGGACCAGCGGGAGAGGAGGAAACUGCUCACGGAGGGUGUCGUCCCCUUCCUGGGCAUGUACCUCUAUCACCUGAAGCU
Molecule: long non-coding RNA, 208 nt
Organism: Diceros bicornis minor
Lineage: Eukaryota; Metazoa; Chordata; Mammalia; Perissodactyla; Rhinocerotidae
Exons: 3
Source: RefSeq, a predicted model, not a curated record